GGAGCAGGAGGAGAGGUCAGGAGAUGCAGAUGUUGAGGGCAUCAGGAGCAGGAUGGUGGAGCUCAGUGUUCAGGCAGGAGUGAGCAGUGUUCAUACAGCCUUCAUUGCUGUGAAUAAAGACAGCAGACAGACUGUGAAAGGACCCCUGCUGCUGAGUGCCGACACACGCGUGUCCUUGGAAGUCAACUGAAGACUACUAGCUGAUUGAAGUUCCCUAGAGGCAUUACACUAGAACAGAAGGAGAUCGGAGAUAUAAGAUGGAGCCAGUCCACGGAAACCCUUAUAAACAAACAACAAUGUUUUAAAAUGGAUACAAUAUUUAAAUUGUUUAAAUUGGAGAGAGAUCAACACUGGUGAAAUAUGUUCCCUCUUCAUUGUUCCAGUUAA
Long non-coding RNA from Cyprinus carpio (common carp), 387 nucleotides. RefSeq lists it as uncharacterized. NCBI's taxonomy places the organism in Eukaryota, Metazoa, Chordata, Actinopteri, Cypriniformes, Cyprinidae. The transcript has 2 exons. The record is from RefSeq and is a predicted model, not a curated record.